Molecule: ribosomal RNA, 440 nt
Filed under: uncultured bacterium
Lineage: Bacteria
Description: partial 16S ribosomal RNA
Rfam family: Bacterial small subunit ribosomal RNA
Source: RNAcentral
CCUACGGGUGGCAGCAGUAGGGAAUAUUGCUCAAUGGGGGAAACCCUGAAGCAGCAACGCCGCGUGGAGGAUGAAGGUUUUCGGCUUGUCAAAUCCUUUUGUUAGAGAAGAUAAUGACGGUAUCUAACGAAUAAGCACCGGCUACCUCCGUGCCAGCAGCCGCGGUAAUCCGGAGGGUGCAAGCGUUACUCGGAAUCACUGGGCGUAAAGCGCGCGGAGGCGGGAUAGCAAGUCAGAUGUGAAAUCCUAUGGCUUAACCAUAGAACUGCAUUUGAAACUGUUGUUCUAGAGUAUGGGAGAGGUAUGUGGAAGGCGUGGUGUAGGGGUAAAAUCCGUAGAGAUCGAGAGGAAUACUCAUUGCGAAGGCGACCUGCUAGAACAUAACUGACGCUGAGGCGCGAAAGCGUGGGGAGCAAACAGGAUUAGAUACCCUGGUAGUC